AAGGUAGCGGUGCGGAAGGAUCCGGCUUUCAUCUGUAAGGUGGCGGUGCGAGAUACGUUGUCUGAGUCGGAAGGUGCGAGUGCCCGAGGGAUUAUCACGUCCAAAGAUAUCCAUCAAGUUCUCCCUGGUGAAGAGUGAUGUUCAGAAGGAUGUAACUACAAGGAUGGGAUGUUGGAGCCUGUUUUUUCCCAUUAAGAAAAUUUUGGCUCAUUAUUUAUAAUCUGCCUACUGGAAGUAUAUUCUUUCAAUAUGAAUCUCUGGAGUGCCUUUGAAGAACUGAUUUGGCAUUUGUACAAUUGGAAACAAACAACUGCAUUUUGUAA
Molecule: long non-coding RNA, 323 nt
Organism: Panthera uncia (snow leopard)
Lineage: Eukaryota; Metazoa; Chordata; Mammalia; Carnivora; Felidae
Exons: 2
Source: RefSeq, a predicted model, not a curated record